AGGACGUCGAAGGUGGGGCUGAUGACUGGGGUGAAGUCGUAACAAGGUAUCCGUACCGGAAGGUGCGGAUGGAUCACCUCCUAACAGGGAGACAAAACAAUGAUUUUGAUGUCUGAGUAUUUUAUUCUUAGGCCGAAAUCCUGUCACCUUAGGUCGAUCGGUACCUCAACAUUUUUCCGAAGAUUGGUGAGCAAUCAUCAAGAGAUUGGAAGGGAUGUUCAGUUCCUAAACUUUGUCUAGGUCACACCCCGCAAGGGAAGAGUCCCCUGGGCCAUUAGCUCAGGUGGUUAGAGCGCACCCCUGAUAAGGGUGAGGUCCCUGGUUCAAGUCCAGGAUGGCCCAUUCGGUGUUGGGGGUUUAGCUCAGUUGGUAGAGCGCCUGCUUUGCAAGCAGGAUGUCAGGAGUUCGAGUCUCCUAACCUCCACUGACAGAACUCAAUCUCCAUUGUCCGGUAACUCGGAGGAUGAACUCAAAGGUGUGUGAUUUAGAUGUGUCCACUAGAUAGGACCCUAGCUUCCUGUCAUUCCGAACAAGUAAUUAUUGCUUGAUUGGCUGAUAUGAUGCUGGGCUCAGAUUAAUCGAAAGAUUAAUUUGAUCUCUAGUAGAACCUUGACAACUGCAUAAGUAAGUCUGGAAAAACGAAGCAUCUUACAGAUGCAUUGUUUUAAGUCUGGAUUCUCGAAAGAGAGUUUAGAUCUAGAAUGAUGAAAAUUCUUUUAAGCAAGAGCCGAGACUCUUAGAUGUUCUUUUUAUCGUGUCGAGCGAUAAAGAGUUUGAUUUUGUUUUUAUGAGCAGCGAAAGCUGCUGAUGAAACCAGAAGAAUCUGCUUUCAACCGCAGUAAGCGUUUAAGAGGUUAAUUGGUCAAGCUACAAAGGGCUCAC
This 882-nucleotide unclassified non-coding RNA is filed under the name uncultured Synechococcus sp. RNAcentral describes it as "partial may contain 16S ribosomal RNA, 16S-23S ribosomal RNA intergenic spacer, and 23S ribosomal RNA". The stretch from base 352 to 424 matches the Rfam family "tRNA". The record is from RNAcentral. Lineage: Bacteria; Bacillati; Cyanobacteriota; Cyanophyceae; Synechococcales; Synechococcaceae.